CCUACGGGAGGCAGCAGUGAGGAAUAUUGGUCAAUGGACAAGAGUCUGAACCAGCCAAGUAGCGUGAAGGAUGACUGCCCUAUGGGUUGUAAACUUCUUUUAUAUGGGAAUAAAACGUUCCACGUGUGGGAUUUUGUAUGUACCAUAUGAAUAAGGAUCGGCUAACUCCGUGCCAGCAGCCGCGGUAAUACGGAGGAUCCGAGCGUUAUCCGGAUUUAUUGGGUUUAAAGGGAGCGUAGGUGGAUUGUUAAGUCAGUUGUGAAAGUUUGCGGCUCAACCGUAAAAUUGCAGUUGAAACUGGCAGUCUUGAGUACAGUAGAGGUGGGCGGAAUUCGUGGUGUAGCGGUGAAAUGCUUAGAUAUCACGAAGAACUCCGAUUGCGAAGGCAGUUCACUGGACUGCAACUGACACUGAGGCUCGAAAGUGUGGGUAUCAAACAGGAUUAGAUACCCGAGUAGUC
RNAcentral lists this ribosomal RNA (460 nucleotides) under uncultured bacterium. RNAcentral describes it as "partial 16S ribosomal RNA". It matches the Rfam family "Bacterial small subunit ribosomal RNA", at positions 338 to 795 of the family's 1533-position model. The record is from RNAcentral.